AGUGAACGCUGGCGGUAGGCCUAACACAUGCAAGUCGAACGGCAGCACAGGAGAGCUUGCUCUCCGGGUGGCGAGUGGCGGACGGGUGAGGAAUGCAUCGGAAUCUACUCUUUUGUGGGGGAUAACGUAGGGAAACUUACGCUAAUACCGCAUACGACCUACGGGUGAAAGCAGGGGACCUUCGGGCCUUGCGCGAUUGAAUGAGCCGAUGUCCGAUUAGCUGGUUGGCGGGGUAAAGGCCCACCAAGGCGACGAUCGGUAGCUGGUCUGAGAGGAUGAUCAGCCACACUGGAACUGAGACACGGUCCAGACUCCUACGGGAGGCAGCAGUGGGGAAUAUUGGACAAUGGGCGCAAGCCUGAUCCAGCCAUACCGCGUGGGUGAAGAAGGCCUUCGGGUUGUAAAGCCCUUUUGUUGGGAAAGAAAAGCAGCCGGCUAAUACCCGGUUGUUCUGACGGUACCCAAAGAAUAAGCACCGGCUAACUUCGUGCCAGCAGCCGCGGUAAUACGAAGGGUGCAAGCGUUACUCGGAAUUACUGGGCGUAAAGCGUGCGUA
Molecule: ribosomal RNA, 556 nt
Filed under: uncultured Stenotrophomonas sp.
Lineage: Bacteria; Pseudomonadati; Pseudomonadota; Gammaproteobacteria; Lysobacterales; Lysobacteraceae
Description: bacterial SSU rRNA
Rfam family: Bacterial small subunit ribosomal RNA
Source: RNAcentral